UUAUGGUCAAAUGACGCUGAAAACACCAGUUCUCGUUCGAUCACUGAAGUGAAGCAGUGUCAGGCCCAUUUAGUACUAAAUGAGGGAUCACUUAGGAACACUGAGUACUGUA
This is a non-coding RNA of Acanthosepion pharaonis, 112 nucleotides long. Lineage: Eukaryota; Metazoa; Mollusca; Cephalopoda; Sepiida; Sepiidae. The record is from the annotation of a GenBank genome assembly.